UAUUUGGACAUUGAAGCAGUUUGCUUCCGUACGUCACAGGCUUCAGUGAACUCCUGUUCUCCUCUCUGGCAUUUGAGGAAAGCUUUGGAGAUACAACCUGAAGAGAAUGCAAGAUUGAUAAGCAUGAAAUAUCUUUACAUAAGGGAACGAAGUGAUCUGAAAGGAGUGUAUCUUCACUUCUCGGAUGAAAUCUUUUAAAGAUGGCACAGAUAAUAUAAUUUUCCUUAGGGUUUUCCCAAGGAGUCAGCCUACCCCAGGAAGCUUAAUGCUAGCAAAUAUCCUAAAGGAUUCCUCCAAAUGUUCUCGAGGAUUUCAAUCUUCUCUACACAACUUGCAUCUAUUCUUAUGAGCCUGACUGUUCUGGUUAUCCAUCCACAGGAUAAAGAUGCAGUCAUUUCACUGUUCCUAAUCCCUUAAUUAAGCAGCCUCAUACUGAAUUUAGCUGCAUAUCUUCCUGAUCCAGGAGUACAAAUAUGUCCCUGAAAAAGCAGUUGUCUAUAUUUUUGUCUGUUAAGGCUGGAAAGAUUAUCCUGUUGCACUGUAAACAACCACUGAACCUUCUGAAGAGAUUUCUCAUCUGGGCUGUUUUGCUGAUAUCUCUUGUCAUGGACCCAUGUCCUGGUUCUUCUCCCUAAGGGGGUUAUUUUGGCUGCCCUAGCUGAGUGCAUGCGAAGUCAAGGAUUCAUUCUUGUCAAAAAAAAUCUCUGCUGAAGCAUUCAGCUCCAAGGACAACUCCUUAACAAGCGUGAAGACAACACAACUCUAUUUGCUUAACCGCAGCAAUGCUGUUGUA
This is a long non-coding RNA of Gymnogyps californianus (California condor), 793 nucleotides long. RefSeq lists it as uncharacterized. The transcript is spliced from 7 exons. NCBI's taxonomy places the organism in Eukaryota, Metazoa, Chordata, Aves, Accipitriformes, Cathartidae. The record is from RefSeq and is a predicted model, not a curated record.